CUGGGGGCGGGGGGGUGUCCCUCAGUAUGGAUUGUGAGAGGGUGCAGGCUAGGCUGUGAGGGACCCCACCAGUGCAUG
RNAcentral lists this microRNA precursor (78 nucleotides) under Myotis davidii. RNAcentral describes it as "mir-9193 microRNA precursor family". It matches the Rfam family "mir-9193 microRNA precursor family". The record is from Rfam by way of RNAcentral. Lineage: Eukaryota; Metazoa; Chordata; Mammalia; Chiroptera; Vespertilionidae.